Molecule: ribosomal RNA, 1324 nt
Filed under: metagenome
Description: bacterial LSU rRNA
Rfam family: Bacterial large subunit ribosomal RNA
Source: RNAcentral
CGAAUAGUCCGUAGAGGCGAAGCUUCGGCGGAGCCGAGACAGGGAACCCGCUUCCAAGAAAAGCGAGCGCGGCAUCCCGUACCGUAAACCGACACAGGUAGUCGGGAAGAAUAUUCCAAGGCGCUCGGGUGAGCCGUGGAGAAGGAACUAGGCAAAUUGACGCUGUAACUUCGGGAUAAGGCGUUCCCGCUUCUGGCGGGACACAGUAAAUUGGCGCAACCAACUGUUUAACAAAAACACAGGGCCCUGCAAAAUCGCAAGAUGACGUAUAGAGCCUGAUACCUGCCCGGUGCCGGAAGGUUAAGGAAGGAUGUUCGCAGCGAUGCAAAGCUUCUGACUGAAGCCCCGGUAAACGGCAGCCGUAACAAUAACGGUCCUAAGGUAGCGAAAUUCCUUGUCGGGUAAGUUCCGACCUGCACGAAUGGUCUAAUGAGUUGCGCACUGUCUCCUCCACGAGCCCGGUGAAAUUGUAGUAUCGGUGAAGAUGCCGGUUACCCGUCACGGGACGGAAAGACCCCAUGAACCUUCACUAUAGCUUUGCAUUGAUUUUGAGCAACCGGUGUGUAGGAUAGUUGGGAGGCUUUGAAGUGGUGUCGCCUGGCAUCAUGGAGCCGACGUUGAAAUACCAACCUCCUGUUGCUUAGAACCUAACCCCUUGCGGGGGACAUUGCAUGGUGGGUAGUUUGACUGGGGUGGUCGCCUCCUAAAAAGUAACGGAGGCUUGCAAAGGUUCCCUCAGUACGGUUGGUAAUCGUACGCAGAGCGUAUUAGUAUAAGGGAGCUUGACUGUGAGGCAUACAGGCCGAACAGGGGCGAAAGCCGGCUAAAGUGAUCCGGCGGUUCUGCAUGGAAUGGCCGUCGCUCAAAGGAUAAAAGGUACUCUGGGAUAACAGGCUGAUCUCCCCCAAGAGCUCAUAUCGACGGGGAGGUUUGGCACCUCGAUGUCGGUUCGUCACAUCCUGGGGCUGGAGAAGGUCCCAAGGGUUCGGCUGUUCGCCGAUUAAAGUGGCACGUGAACUGGGUUCAGAACGUCGCAAGACAGUUCGGUCCCUAUCUGUGAUGGGCGUUAGUAAAUUGCGUGGACGUGACCUUAGUACGAGAGGACCGGGUCGCAUGUACCGCUGGUGUGCCAGUUGUGGUGCCAACCGCAGUGCUGGGUAGCUACGUACAGCCGAGAUAAACGCUGAAAGCAUCUAAGCGUGAAACUCUCCACCAGAUGAGUUUACUUUUAAGGGCCGCAGGAGACCACUGCGUCGAUAGGCUGCAGGUGUAAAGGUGGUGACAUCAAAGCCGAGCAGUACUAAUUGCCCGUAAGCUUUAACAA